RNAcentral lists this ribosomal RNA (253 nucleotides) under uncultured prokaryote. RNAcentral's name for it is "partial 16S ribosomal RNA". It matches the Rfam family "Bacterial small subunit ribosomal RNA", at positions 524 to 776 of the family's 1533-position model. The record is from RNAcentral.
UACGUAUGGUGCAAGCGUUAUCCGGAUUUACUGGGUGUAAAGGGUGCGUAGGUGGCAUGGCAAGUCAGAAGUGAAAACACGGGGCUCAACCCCGUGACUGCUUUUGAAACUGUCAAGCUAGAGUGCAGGAGAGGAAAGUGGAAUUCCUAGUGUAGCGGUGAAAUGCGUAGAUAUUAGGAGGAACACCAGUGGCGAAGGCGACUUUCUGGACUGUAACUGACACUGAGGCACGAAAGCGUGGGGAGCAAACAGG